Molecule: ribosomal RNA, 507 nt
Filed under: uncultured bacterium
Lineage: Bacteria
Description: partial 16S ribosomal RNA
Rfam family: Bacterial small subunit ribosomal RNA
Source: RNAcentral
GACGAACGCUGGCGGCGUGCCUAAUACAUGCAAGUCGAACGCUUCUUUCCUCCCGAGUGCUUGCACUCAAUUGGAAAGAGGAGUGGCGGACGGGUGAGUAACACGUGGGUAACCUACCCAUCAGAGGGGGAUAACACUUGGAAACAGGUGCUAAUACCGCAUAACAGUUUAUGCCGCAUGGCAUAAGAGUGAAAGGCGCUUUCGGGUGUCGCUGAUGGAUGGACCCGCGGUGCAUUAGCUAGUUGGUGAGGUAACGGCUCACCAAGGCCACGAUGCAUAGCCGACCGGGGAGGGUGAUCGGCCACACUGGGACUGAGACACGGCCCAGACUCCUACGGGAGGCAGCAGUAGGGAAUCUUCGGCAAUGGACGAAAGUCUGACCGAGCAACGCCGCGUGAGUGAAGAAGGUUUUCGGAUCGUAAAACUCUGUUGUUAGAGAAGAACAAGGACGUUAGUAACGGAACGUCCCCUGACGGUAUCUAACCAGAAAGACACGGCUAACUACGU